CGUAACAAGGUUUCCGUAGGUGAACCUGCGGAAGGAUCAUUGUCGAACCUAACGAUCGAACGACCCGCGAACAUGUUGUCUUACCACCGCGUGGGGGCGGGGCGGGCGCGAGCCCUGUUCUCCUCCCUCGACGUGCUGCCGGGAGGCCCCCGGGAGCCUUGCCCCGCGCCCGGCGCCUUGUGCACGGGUCGGGGGCGUCUCGUGGAGGCCUUUCGGCAAACAACGAACCCCGGCGCGGAAAGCGCCAAGGAAAACGCAACGAAACAAUGCUCUCCCGUCGCCCCGGAUUCGGGUGCUUCGGCGAGCGGCAGUCGUUUUGAUAUAUCAAACGACUCUCGGCAACGGAUAUCUAGGCUCUCGCAUCGAUGAAGAACGUAGCAAAAUGCGAUACUUGGUGUGAAUUGCAGAAUCCCGUGAAUCAUCGAGUCUUUGAACGCAAGUUGCGCCCGAAGCCACUCGGCCGAGGGCACGCCUGCCUGGGCGUCACGCACUCGUCGCCCCUCCCCCCUCCAUCCCCCUCCCUUUCGGGACGGGAUGCUGCGGGGGUGGGGCGGAUUAUGGCCUCCCGCGGAGCACUGCCUCUGCGGAUGGUUGAAAAUCGGUCCCGCGGCGACGCACGCCACGACUAGCGGUGGUUUGAAACGAACCCCUCCCCCCGAAGCCUCGCUUGUCGAGGGCGAAGGGCGGAGCGGCUCAUAGUCGGGCGCGGCGCUUCGUCCAACGGGGCCCCUAAAGCAAAAGGCCCUAUGAACUCGAUCGCGACCCCAGGUCAGGCGGGAAACCCGCUGAGUUUAAGCAUAUCAAUAA
Molecule: ribosomal RNA, 807 nt
Filed under: Cyphostemma auriculatum
Lineage: Eukaryota; Viridiplantae; Streptophyta; Magnoliopsida; Vitales; Vitaceae
Description: eukaryotic LSU rRNA
Rfam family: 5.8S ribosomal RNA (bases 331-486)
Source: RNAcentral